RNAcentral lists this ribosomal RNA (497 nucleotides) under uncultured bacterium. RNAcentral describes it as "partial 16S ribosomal RNA". It matches the Rfam family "Bacterial small subunit ribosomal RNA", at positions 28 to 507 of the family's 1533-position model. The record is from RNAcentral.
GAUGAACGCUGGCGGCGUGCCUAAUACAUGCAAGUCGAGCGAACAGACGAGGAGCUUGCUCCUCUGACGUUAGCGGCGGACGGGUGAGUAACACGUGGAUAACCUACCUAUAAGACUGGGAUAACUUCGGGAAACCGGAGCUAAUACCGGAUAAUAUAUUGAACCGCAUGGUUCAAUAGUGAAAGACGGUUUUGCUGUCACUUAUAGAUGGAUCCGCGCCGCAUUAGCUAGUUGGUAAGGUAACGGCUUACCAAGGCAACGAUGCGUAGCCGACCUGAGAGGGUGAUCGGCCACACUGGAACUGAGACACGGUCCAGACUCCUACGGGAGGCAGCAGUAGGGAAUCUUCCGCAAUGGGCGAAAGCCUGACGGAGCAACGCCGCGUGAGUGAUGAAGGUCCUCGGAUCGUAAAACUCUGUUAUUAGGGAAGAACAAAUGUGUAAGUAACUAGGCACGUCUUGACGGUACGUAAUCAGAAAGCCACGGCUAACUACGUG